GAAUAAUACUCCAUAGAUUUAAACUGCUGGAAUGCUUUUAAAUUGAAAGAUUUAUCGCCUAAGGAUAAGUCUGCGGACUAUCAGGUUGUAGUUAGGGUAAAUACCUGACUAGCCUACGACGGAUACGGGUAGUGAGAGCUUUAGCCCGGAGAUGAUAUCUGAGACACGAUAUCAGGCCCUACGGGGCGCAGCAGGCGCGAAAACUUCGCACUGUGCGAAAGCACGACGAGGGAAUCCCAAGUGCUGGCUCGUAAGAGUCAGCUGUUUUUCUGUCUAAAAAACAGGGAGAGUAAGAGCUGGGUAAGACGGGUGCCAGCCGCCGCGGUAAUACCUGCAGCUCAAGUGGUGGCCGCUAUUAUUGGGCCUAAAACGUCCGUAGCCGGUUUCAUAAAUGCCUGGGUAAAUCAUACGGCUUAACCGUAUGAAUUCCGGGUAGACUGUUUAACUUGAGACCGGGAGAGGCUAGAGGUACUCCUGGGGUAGAGGUGAAAUUCUGUAAUCCUAGGGGGACCACCAGUGGCGAAGGCGUCUAGCUAGAACGGGUCUGACGGUGAGGGACGAAGCCCUGGGGAGCAAACGGGAUUAGAUACCCCGGUAGUCCAGGGUGUAAACGCUGCUCGCUUGAUGUUAGUCGGGCUCCGAGCCCAACUAGUGUCGGAGAGGAGUUGUUAAGCGAGCUGCCUGGGGAGUACGGUCGCAAGACUGAAACUUAAAGGAAUUGGCGG
RNAcentral lists this ribosomal RNA (725 nucleotides) under uncultured archaeon. RNAcentral describes it as "bacterial SSU rRNA". It matches the Rfam family "Archaeal small subunit ribosomal RNA", at positions 144 to 871 of the family's 1478-position model. The record is from RNAcentral.